GGUGGCUCAGUAGUAGAGUGCUUGCCUUGCAUGCAUGAGACCCUGGGUUCGAUUCCUUAGCACCA
This 65-nucleotide transfer RNA is filed under the name Dipodomys ordii (Ord's kangaroo rat). It matches the Rfam family "tRNA". From Rfam's summary of the family: Transfer RNA (tRNA) molecules are approximately 80 nucleotides in length. Their secondary structure includes four short double-helical elements and three loops (D, anti-codon, and T loops). The record is from Rfam by way of RNAcentral. Lineage: Eukaryota; Metazoa; Chordata; Mammalia; Rodentia; Heteromyidae.